Echinops telfairi (small Madagascar hedgehog) is the source of this 2229-nucleotide long non-coding RNA. RefSeq lists it as uncharacterized. NCBI's taxonomy places the organism in Eukaryota, Metazoa, Chordata, Mammalia, Afrosoricida, Tenrecidae. The record is from RefSeq and is a predicted model, not a curated record. The transcript is spliced from 2 exons.
CUGCCCCUCCUGACACAUGUCCAAGGUCUGUGAGACACAGUCUCAUCAUCCUCGCCUCUUAUGGUGGACCCUGUGGCCAGCAUGGUGGAGAGAUGCACCGUCAAGUCUGCGUCUGACUGCUGGGCACUGGCUCAGCACGGACUCCUUCUGAAGCUGUGUUUGAACCCACCACACGGCGGUCGCCUUGUUCUUUGCUGGGUCCUGUAGCCCUCGGUUGUGGGAGUUUCCUGCAACAGGGCCUCAGCGCCUACCAGGCAGACAGACGAAGACCAGGUUAAGAAGCUACCAAGGUGACUAACAGUAAAUCUGGGAUGGAGAAGAGGCCUCCUGGCCAAUUAUGGGGUCUGGGGGUGUCGUGUCCUUGAUGAGGGAUGCAGAGAAGCAGGCGGUAGGCGUGAGACGCCGCUUCAGCGGAAGUUGUCAUUGAUGGCAGUGCCCCCUGAAUCCCUAGGAUUCCAGAGCCCUCCCUUCAACCCCUGCACUCUCCAGUCCAGUAACUCCCAGGCCUCCAGACUGUGGCUACAGGAUGGGGGUGGGCAGGCCUGAAGGAGGGGUCUUUAUCCAGCCAGAAUACAUGAGGAUCAGCCCUGUGACCUCACACGGGGUCAUGUAUGUAAAAGGAACACUCCCCGUCCCCACACACCCAUUCAACCCCAACUGAAACCACAGUCAGAAGGAAGAUGCUGAGCAGAGGGGGACCCCACCGAGGACUGCCUUCCCUGUGGGCUCACCACCUUCUCCCCAUCAUGUCCUGCCCUACGGUGGGUGGGCUUGCAGGGUUGUAAGAGAAACUCAAGUUUGACCACAUGCUUGGCUUUCGGCAGGCUUCCCUCUAGCCCAGCAAUCAGGAGUCCGUGCAGUGUCAAGGGCAGCUUUUGCAGGGACCGGGGAGGAGGAGCGAGUAUCGGACAGCUGUGGUGGUACACUGGGACCCUGCCCCUCCUCGGGCGCCCACAGCAGCCUAGGAGGCUCAGUCCUGCCCGUUGUGCUGCUUUGGGUCACCCCCAUACCAACCAAGCUGGGGAGGGGGUCCUUGCUUCAUUUUAAUGAAAAAGAACAAAGCAGAUGCCAACCAAGACAGCUGUCUCCCCAACCUCCGUGCACCCCACCCACCCCCGCCCGCCCCAGUAGCACCCACACCUAAAUGAAAUUCUCUUGACUUUGUGACCAGAAAAGGUCCUCCUACUAUUGUUUGCCCAGUAGCCAUGUUUGUCCAAUCGGCAAACUAUUUGUUCGAUGAUGGAAGCUUUCUCUUUGGGGGUGAAUCAAAGGCAACAAGGAUAUUUUAUUCAACUCCCGUCAGCCCGAGAGAGCCUGGGCAGGGAUCUAAUCCCACUGAACGCAAAGGAACAUGUUGUGUGAACAUCACAUGUGGACAUCGUUCCCACCCCACCCCAGUGAAGGGGCAGUGACCAUCAGGGUUCUACAGAGGCUGUGAUAGUAUGGAGCCCCCAGAGAGCCUUCAGAGCCCCCCAGGGAGCCCCUAGUUGGGAGCCACUAGGCUAAGCCAGUUGAGAUGAGGGAGCAAGUCUUUGAUAAUCACUAUGGCCAUCUCAUUCUCAGUCGCCGGUCCCUGACUCGGCCACCCUAGGCAGAUGGGUCUUCUCUCUGCACAUCUGGGUUACACUGUGCGUUCUCUUCAUGGGAAGCUGUCUCCAUGGGUGCCAGUAGCUCUUAUCCAGGUGUCUGGCGUCCCAUUCCCACUAUGCCAUGAUCACCCCACUCUCGUGUCUGUGACGAGAGAUAUAGAGGGACAGAAUGAACGCGGGCCUGGGUCUCAGGAACCCAGGACCACUUGUGGAAUCCUCGAGAAGCUGGGUGUCUGUGAAGAGAUGGGGAGCAAGGAGGGGAGGCAUGGCAGCCCACAGUGGGCUGAGGGCACUGAGAGAGUUCUGGGCUGCAGGCCAGCACCCCUUCACUGUAACAUGCUGUGAAUCUCCUGAGAAUCAAGUUCAAUUGUGCAUCUUGGUUCAGGAGACCUGGGGAGGGGCUGCCAGGGGAGGCAGAGGCUAGGCUAGCUGGGGGCCAUACACAGAACCACAGUAUAAUGCAUCUUUGACAAGCCUAGUGCCCGUAGCUGGGCUUCGGGCUCAAGCGAUGAGAGCCAGCCAGUUUGUGUCUGGAAUUGAGGGCCAGGACGGCCCCCAGAGCCCUGAUAUACCCAUGCCUGGAAAGAUGAAGGAACACGAGAGAAAAAGGUGUUUUUAGCAAAUAAAUGUCUCUCCUUUU